GAUAACUGAAAACCAAGUCACAGAGAGCGUGUGUGCAUGCGGAUAAGGAAAACCCAUGAAGCAAUAUAUGAAACGCCCUAGUUGUAAUUGGCCGAAUUUAGUUUAAAAGCCUCCAGUUUGGCACUGCAACUCACUCAAUUCCGGGGCCUAACGGAGAAACACCAUGCGGAGAGACAAUCCACAUGGACCCCACUCGGAGGUGACAAGCCUGGACCACCGGGGUUCACUUCCAGCGUAUCUGAAAGCAGGAAAGAGAGUUGCCACUGAGCCAGGCUACGCCAGCCGGACUGGAAGGAAGGUUGGAGUGCCAUGAGAAAAAUCUUAUGCUACCUACAAAGAGGCAGCAUAAUUCCAGCUGCUGAAUGCCACGUGACCUAAUUUCAGAUUGACUCAUUGACCUCACUAUUUACCAAUAGCACCCAUGGUUGCUAGCAGAUAUGGUGCUUAGGGGGUUAUGAAUAUCUUCUUCAA
Mastomys coucha (southern multimammate mouse) is the source of this 471-nucleotide long non-coding RNA. RefSeq lists it as uncharacterized. The transcript has 2 exons. The record is from RefSeq and is a predicted model, not a curated record. NCBI's taxonomy places the organism in Eukaryota, Metazoa, Chordata, Mammalia, Rodentia, Muridae.